AUGAACGCUGGCGGCGUGCCUAAUCCCUGCAAGUCGAGCGAACAGACGAGGAGCUUGCUCCUCUGACGUUAGCGGCGGACGGGUGAGUAACACGUGGAUAACCUACCUAUAAGACUGGGAUAACUUCGGGAAACCGGAGCUAAUACCGGAUAAUAUAUUGAACCGCAUGGUUCAAUAGUGAAAGACGGUUUUGCUGUCACUUAUAGAUGGAUCCGCGCCGCAUUAGCUAGUUGGUAAGGUAACGGCUUACCAAGGCAACGAUGCGUAGCUGACCUGAGAGGGUGAUCGGCCACACUGGAACUGAGACACGGUCCAGACUCCUACGGGAGGCAGCAGUAGGGAAUCUUCCGCAAUGGGCGAAAGCCUGACGGAGCAACGCCGCGUGAGUGAUGAAGGUCUUCGGAUCGUAAAACUCUGUUAUUAGGGAAGAACAAAUGUGUAAGUAACUAUGCACGUCUUGACGGUACCUAAUCAGAAAGCCACGGCUAACUACGUG
Molecule: ribosomal RNA, 496 nt
Filed under: uncultured bacterium
Lineage: Bacteria
Description: partial 16S ribosomal RNA
Rfam family: Bacterial small subunit ribosomal RNA
Source: RNAcentral